UUUUCCUGCAAACAGGAAAACUGGUAUGAAAUAUCCAAGUCCAGGUAGGACAAAAUCAGGGUACUAAAAGGAGGUAGCAUGGAUUUCGUCCUUUCUGCAUUGAGAUGGCAAAGCCAAUUCAUUCAAAAUAUGUAGGAGGAGAAGAAUGGAAAGGCAGGUGUUUGUGAUUUGAGCAGCCAUGAAGUGAUUCCAAAGUAUCUGAUUUAUUCACAGCACCUUGCAUUAAACUCAAAGAGACAAAGAACUUCUCCUGACAUCUCCUCUCACCUCUCAGGGAAGUGGAAAAAGAGAUUUUUUUGCAGCAAAAUGUUAAAAGGAGGCAUUCAGGACACAGUUUGGUGAUGCCCUAGCUAGAAACAGGCUGCUGGGCUAGAGGGAUAGAGCAACCACUACCUGUGCUGGCUGAAGGACACUAGUUUCUCCUCCAGGCUUCUCAUCCCAUCUGAUUGCUUCCUCCCCUUGGAGAGGUCUCCUGUGGUCAGGGAAGGUAUUUUCUUACCACAUCACUCCAUUCUGCCUUGCUUUCCCUUUUGCAAGCUCUGUAGGUCUGGCUUGGAGGUGUAUGUGGCCUCUGCCAGCAACACCAAGGUUGAGCAGUCCUGACACCUUGCAGAUUGAACAUCAAAGGGUACUGGUGUAAGGACAAAUACCCAGUGCAGAUGGGAGUGAGGCUGCUAGGUGAGGUGGGCAGGAUCCAUGUGAACAGCUAUGAGAAAACUAAAGUAAUAAUGAAACAGGACAUCUAAACUCCAGGAAAGGCAUAGAUGCAUGACUAAGGACGGAAAAUAUACAACUUUCCCCAUGGAAGUGUUCUUUAAGCCAAAAAUCCAAAAUUAUUAUAUUGGCUAAAAACCAACCAAACAAUACAUCAUAACUUGUGAAGUUUCUUACAGCUACUCAAGACCAUUGCAGUGAAAUCAUUCACAGACCUAUUUUCUUCCACAGUCUGAACUUAAAAAUUGUCCCACAGUUUCUGUGAAGCACCAUGAGGGAAGACAUUUCCUCACAGACCUCAUAUUGUACCAGUCAUUAA
Molecule: long non-coding RNA, 1033 nt
Filed under: Anser cygnoides (Swan goose)
Lineage: Eukaryota; Metazoa; Chordata; Aves; Anseriformes; Anatidae
Description: lncRNA (ENSACDG00005011974.1)
Source: RNAcentral